GUUAUAUUAAUCCACAUGGCUGAAAAAUAACUUUUCCUAUUUUAAUUAAAAUGCAAUUGUACGAUGUUGUUCACCAUUUAUAUGCAUUAGCAUAGAUAUUGUGAGUUGAACUGCCUUCUUGUUUUGAAUUUCUACUCUCUCUCUCUCUCUCUCUCUCUCUCUCUCUCUCUCUCUAGAGCUGGUCUAUAUAUUUGCAUAAUCUUAUUCUUCAAGUUCUAGCACAAUACACUCAGUUUGUUUCUCUGUUAGCCUAACUCGCUCGGUAUGUGCCUAACACUCACAUGGUGCUUAAAGAUGUAUCUAACACAACAUGGACAUGGCUAUCACGUAUCAAGUGCUUCCAUGCUUCCUUGAGAAGGUUCUUCCUUGGUAGCACGAAGGAGGGGCAGGGGUAGGAGUGGGAGCAGGUGCGAGGGAGCGGAGGCACCUAGACGCUCCUAAGGUUGGUGUGAUGCCUCGUAGCCAGGGAAAAGACCCGGGUUGAGGCCGUGGUGACCCUAGUCACGAGUCCCACAUCGCUUGGUGAAGUGUAAGUUGUGAGCUAUUAAGUAAUAGAUUAUGUCCCUACCUUGUACAAGGCCUUUUAAAGCCGUGAGGGCAUCACCUACUGGGAAGUCCACGGAGCUUGGGCGGCCAAAGCUGACAAUAUUGUGCAAGGUAAGAGUGGGCCAUUACAGAUGGUAUCAGAGCUUGCAUCAACCGGAAAUGUGGGAAAAAUCUGACCCCACACAAGAACGUGUGUUCCUAAGUGGGGGAUAUUGUGACACCCCAUAGCCUGGGAAAAGACUUGAGUUGAGGCCAUGGUGACCCUAGUCUCGAGUCCCACAUCGCUUGGUGAAGUGUAAGUUGUGAGCUAUAAGUAAUAGAUUAUGACCCUACCUUGUACAAGGCCUUUUAAAGCCUUGAGGGCGUCAAAACUUAUUGGAACUUCACAUUUCAGUGUACUCACCCUGGAGUAGUCUUGGGAUAGGUGACCUACUGGAAAGUCCACAAAGCUUGGGCGGCCAAAGCGGACAAUAUUGUGCAAGGCAGGAGCGGGCCAUUACAGUUGAGAGCGCCUAAGGAGCAUAUAUAGAUUAUAUAAAAUAUCUUUAAAUACUUAACCAUUAAAGGAAAAGUGAUACUUAUUGAAAAAAUUUCCGAUCUUAAAGUGUAAUUAUUGGAAGUUAUAUAUUCUCAAUUUGCAAAACUUCUUGACUAAUAUGAUUCUCGUAUUCUUAUUUCCACAAUGGCAUAACUCCCUUAAAAGUAAGAGAAUAACUGCCUUAACGGCCCGAUAAGCUCCCAUCUUAGUUAGGAGCGAACUCCCAUCUCGAGGGGAGUGAGCUCCCGUCAAGCUCCCAUCUUGGGAGCGCCGAUUCGAGCUCCAGUCUAGGGAGCGCACCUAUUUUAGAAGGAUCCUGCUACUAAGGGUUCUUCCCUUACAUACGAGGAUAUAUGGUUUCUUUUGUCCCUGGAAGAUUCUCUUGUAGCUAUGCGCCUUUGACACAUAGCUAUCGUCUAUGUGGAAAUUUGUCUUUCGUAAUUCUCUGCAGAAAAUAUAGCUUUUGAGAUUCCAUUAUAUAUGUGUGUAUAUGUCCCUUUCAGAAAAAAAAGAA
This is a long non-coding RNA of Rhododendron vialii, 1598 nucleotides long. RefSeq lists it as uncharacterized. The record is from RefSeq and is a predicted model, not a curated record. Lineage: Eukaryota; Viridiplantae; Streptophyta; Magnoliopsida; Ericales; Ericaceae. The transcript is spliced from 2 exons.